This 253-nucleotide ribosomal RNA is filed under the name uncultured bacterium. RNAcentral's name for it is "partial 16S ribosomal RNA". It matches the Rfam family "Bacterial small subunit ribosomal RNA", at positions 524 to 776 of the family's 1533-position model. The record is from RNAcentral.
UCCGCAGGGUGCAAGCGUUGUCCGGAUUUAUUGGGUUUAAAGGGUGCGUAGGUGGCUGAUUAAGUCAUGGGUGAAAGCCCGCAGCUCAACUGUGGAAUUGCCUGUGAUACUGAUUAGCUUGAGUGCGGUUGAGGCAGCUGGAAUUGGUGGUGUAGCGGUGAAAUGCAUAGAUACCACCAGGAACACCGAUUGCGAAGGCAGGUUGCUAAGCCGUAACUGACAAUGAGGCACGAAAGCGUGGGGAGCAAACAGG